AAGAUAACAGCAAGAGAAAGCCAAAAAUGAUGAGUUACGGRCGACAACAAAUGGGCCAAACAAGAUGCUGUCAAGAUAGRCUCUAAAGGACUUGAUGAGG
This is a long non-coding RNA of Nothoprocta perdicaria, 100 nucleotides long. RefSeq lists it as uncharacterized. The record is from RefSeq and is a predicted model, not a curated record. NCBI's taxonomy places the organism in Eukaryota, Metazoa, Chordata, Aves, Tinamiformes, Tinamidae. The transcript is spliced from 2 exons.